This 1552-nucleotide long non-coding RNA is filed under the name Rhipicephalus microplus (southern cattle tick). Its description in RNAcentral is "uncharacterized LOC119163437". Lineage: Eukaryota; Metazoa; Arthropoda; Arachnida; Ixodida; Ixodidae. The record is from RNAcentral.
AGAGGGAAGGAGGAUGGCAAAACGACCUCGAUGGCUGUUGCGGCCAAAGGUGAUGCCGUCAAUACGUCACCGGGAGCCUGGAGGUUAGGCUGUGAUUUCGAGUCGAGGCAUCUUGGAGCAUGACGUCACCUGAAGACAGAGCGCCGCAAGCAUUGCACAACGUUCCACUGCCUCCUUAACUCAUCGAGAUCGAAAAUCAAGGCGUACGCCUGAACGAACGACGAAGAUCCAUCGUCACAACAAGUAAAUAGGGUGUCCGACGGAACGUAUGUGCAACAGAAAACUACGUCGUGUAAUGGAAGCUAUCAUCGACAUCCACUAAAGACACCAAGCUCUUCACGUAUACUGGGACACUGGCGGGACACCGCCAAAACACUAGUUCUCUCAACGUUUUUACCGGAGUUCGUGCGAAGCGAGACAUUGGAAGAAUGCAGUGUUCGCUUCCAUAGCGUGCAAUAAGAACAACGAAGGAAAAGAACGGCGCGGGUACAGCGCUGACAUUGGGAUUUGCCUGUGAUUUGUGGUUGGCAGGACAGUCAGUUACUGGCCACCCCAACCGAUCGCGAAGGUGGCCCAAAGUCUUCCUGUCCCGAAUCAACGCACAGUCACAGCACCACAAGGAUGUUUACGAAGCAGAUGCGAGCUACAGUAAAUGGUCUCACCAGACUUCUCUGUCUACUGCCUAAAGAAGCUCGCUUGGCUAUGCGGACCAUCGCACGAACGCUCCGCAGCCAUCAAUCAAUAAGGACAACGGUACACUUGUCCUCGUAUCUGCACGUGACACUUCGAGAGAAAGUCCUUCUAGACCGUGACAGCCCUGUUCUCAGCCAGUAAUCCCAAAUCGCAACGGUGAAUCCUGUAGGCCGCUACAUCUGAUGUCUGACUUCAUGGAAGCACAGCCGUCAGCAACAGAUCAAAAGACAUCAACAAAACAAAUAUGGCGGUUCUCACAACAUUGCCCUGUCCAGCAUGGCUUCCGUUCAACGCUGCCGGGUCCACGAAGAGUCCCGCACUAACGUAUCCACGGAAGGCAUCUAGAAUCACAGUCCACACAAUCACAACAUCUUGCGUCCAGGUCCGUACUUCGCAGCUGCCUCCGACGUCCCUCCAGCCAUACGUGAAGCACCAAUGACGUCACACGAUUCGCAGAAGACUCCGGCUGAACGCCCCGAAACACAACCCGCGAAGACAGUCCGACGGCUGCAUAAUCAGCGAAGAAAGGCCGACGUAUCGAAUCGCCUCGUCGCCGGUGGUGAUGGCCCCCUCAAGAUUCGAGGAGGAGUCAUCGAACUCGGCGCCCCCAGCUGCCGCCAAAACAACGCCGACAAAGGGUUCAUAAAUCGCCGUCACCGGGCACUAAGCGGUGGACCAAACAAGCGUGUGACGUCAAAAGGGUGACGUCAAGGAUGCCAGACACCAGACGGCGCGACGCCCACGGAAGCAGACAACGUGAAGUGAUCGAUGCAGAAGAAGCGCGGUAAAAACUACGCCGAGCGAAGCUUUUAAUGGGAAGUCAAGGCGAGAGAAUAAAUCAGUUCGUUCUGAUAAAUUA